Molecule: ribosomal RNA, 502 nt
Filed under: uncultured crenarchaeote
Lineage: Archaea; Thermoproteati; Thermoproteota
Description: bacterial SSU rRNA
Rfam family: Archaeal small subunit ribosomal RNA
Source: RNAcentral
AGUCAUUGUAGCAAUACAAGGCGGACGGCUCAGUAACACGUAGUCAACCUAACUCGUGGACGUGGAUAACCUCGGGAAACUGAGAAUAAACCACGAUAGAUCAUAGUGCCUGGAAUGGCUUAUGGUCCAAACAGUUUACUGCCAUGGGAUGGGACUGCGGCCUAUCAGCUUGUUGGUGAGGUAAUGGCCCACCAAGGCGAUUACAGGUACGGGCUCUGAGAGGAGAAGCCCGGAGAUGGGUACUGAGACACGGACCCAGGCCCUAUGGGGCGCAGCAGGCGAGAAACCUUAGCAAUGUGCGAAAGCACGACUGGGUCAGUCCGAGUGAUUCCUGAUAAAGGAGUCUUUUGCUUGUCCUAAAAGCACAGGUGAAUAAGGGGUGGGCAAGUCUGGUGUCAGCCGCCGCGGUAAUACCAGCACCUCGAGUGGUCACGACGUUUAUUGGGCCUAAAGCAUCCGUAGCCGGCUUUGCAAGUCUUCGGUUAAAUCCACCUGCUCAACA